Long non-coding RNA from Nylanderia fulva, 552 nucleotides. RefSeq lists it as uncharacterized. The record is from RefSeq and is a predicted model, not a curated record. Lineage: Eukaryota; Metazoa; Arthropoda; Insecta; Hymenoptera; Formicidae.
UCACUGCUACUCUUGUUGUGUGGUGCGAGGUCAUCGCGGUUUAAAUGUUGCUUCCAGUGCAUUGACACGUGCGAGAUGUGUUUACAUACUUUCUCGCACGAAUUUUUGCAUAAUUUCGUUGAUUGUUGGCGGCACGUGUGUUGGUACGUGUACUUGGACGACGAGGGAAUACAGGCGUACAACAACAGUCACGAAAGGUGAUCGACGGAAGAAGCGGAGAAGUGUAGAAGCGAGAGCGUGGAUGAGAGCGGAAAGGAGAUGGAAAAGAAGAGUGAGUGAAGGAGGACGACAGGCAAGAUUCUUGAGUGUCGAACGGACGUUACUUCGCGCGAUUAUAGUUUUUGUAUUUUUUUUUUCAGUAGCAAUGUACGCGAAAUACGCGUGAAUCACGCAUCGUGUCGGGAGUGCCGUGUAAAGUAUCGCGCGUCGGGAGUGCCGUGUAAAGUGUCGGGCGAUCGUAAUUAUUCGUGUUUUCGCGAGUGUUGUAAGUGCUACGAAGGACCAAGAGAGGAGGAAGAGGCCCAGGGAGGCAUCGGGCGACAGUGAGGCAAC